Molecule: ribosomal RNA, 885 nt
Filed under: uncultured archaeon
Lineage: Archaea
Description: bacterial SSU rRNA
Rfam family: Archaeal small subunit ribosomal RNA
Source: RNAcentral
UUCCGGUUGAUCCUGCCGGACCCGACUGCUAUUUGGGUGAGGAUAAGCCAUGCGAGUUGAAUGGGAAACCUAAAAAUCCCAUGGCAAACUGCUCAGUAACACAUGAUCAACUUACCCUAUAGAGGAAAAUAACCUCGGGAAACUGAGGAUAAUGUUCCAUAGUUGAAUCGGCUUGGAAAAGUUUUUCAAUAAAAGGGAUAAGGAAAAUGGUCCUUAUCUGCUAUAGGAUAGGAUCGUGCUCGAUUAUGGUUGUUGGUGAGGUAAAGGCUCACCAAGCCGAUAAUCGAUAGGGGCCGUGAGAGCGGGAGCCCCGAGAUGGGUACUGAGACAACGACCCAGGCCUUACGAGGCGCAGCAGGCGCGAAACCUCCGCAAUACACGAAAGUGUGACGGGGUUACCCAAAGUGUUCAUUAGAACUGUGGUAGGUGAGUAAUGUUCCCUACUAGAAAGGGGAGGGCAAGGCUGGUGCCAGCCGCCGCGGUAAAACCAGCUCUUCAAGUGGUCGGGAUAAUUAUUGGGCUUAAAGUGUCCGUAGCCGGUUUAGUAAGUUCCUGGUAAAAUCGGGUAGCUUAACUAUCUAUAUGCUAGGAAUACUGCUAAACUAGAGGGCGGGAGAGGUCUGAGGUACUACAGGGGUAGGGGUGAGAUCUUAUAAUCCUUGUAGGACCACCAGUGGCGAAGGCGUCAGACUGGAACGUGCCUGACGGUGAGGGACGAAAGCCAGGGGAGCGAACCGGAUUAGAUACCCGGGUAGUCCUGGCCGUAAACGAUGCAUACUAGGUGAUGGCAUGGCCAUGAGCCGUGUCAGUGCCGUAGGGAAACCGUUAAGUAUGCCGCCUGGGAAGUACGGUCGCAAGGCUAAAACUUAAAGGAAUUGGCGGGGG